GAUUAGAGUAUGAUGAGUAUCUCUCCUUUCCGUCGAUAAUCCGUUAGUACUGCAAUAUACACAGUUGACUGGAAGAAAUCCUCGACCUCAGCAUACAUGAAGCCAUAGCAAGAAGCAGUGAAAGCCACAGCAGAGAUUGGAUGGAGCAUAAUUUUUUCUAUGUAUCGGUGCCUCUAUGGAUGUCAUAUUUAGAUCAGAUGCAGUCUGAGCCUUGUUCUGAAUUUCAAAAUCCCCUUUGACAACACCUGCACAGCUGAGGUAAUGUAAACUUAAAAAUUGAGGACAACCGUCACCAAGAAAAGAUUAUCAAUUCAACUAACCAAUCAAGGGCCUUCUGACUAAGGGUUGAAUUAUAGUGAACACUGCCAUUCAGAGACUUUGAAACAGAUUGAUGAAUGAACCACAUGCAUUAUGUCAGAGGAAUCUAGCUGGAGCACCCAUUUAGCAGCCAGGACACAUAGAUGUACCUGUACAGUUGAUACAGAUAAUCUUAACGGCACAUUUCUAAAUGAUGGCCAAAAAAAUCUAAUAAAGACACUGUCAGUUUAAAACUUUUUGAAAGAAAUCCAGAUCAGAAACAAAGGAUAUUGAUUUUUAAGCUCCAAAUGUAAAAGGGGUUUUAUUGAAACCAAGACCAGGAUACACCCAAGGAUAUUUAAUAUUAGACCCCUUCAACAUAAAAUUUUGAAUUUUAGUUUGCCUAUCUAGUCAAGAACAUGGGUUUUUUGACAUUUGAUACACUUUACAUGUAUAAUGUUAUAUUGACAUUUUUUCAAGAUUUCUUUACUGUAAACUAUUUAUUUCAGCAAAAAGUACA
Saccostrea cuccullata (small rock oyster) is the source of this 817-nucleotide long non-coding RNA. RefSeq lists it as uncharacterized. NCBI's taxonomy places the organism in Eukaryota, Metazoa, Mollusca, Bivalvia, Ostreida, Ostreidae. The record is from RefSeq and is a predicted model, not a curated record. The transcript is spliced from 4 exons.